GAUGAACACUGACAGAAUGCUUAACACAUGCAAGUCUUUGGCGAAUCUGUGCUUGCACAGGCUAGCCAAGGCGGACGGGUGAGUAACGCGUAAAGAACUUGCCCUGCAGACAGGGAUAACAGACGGAAACGACUGAUAACACCUGAUACAGUUGCCGGCACGCAUGUGCCUGGCAAUGAAAAGAGAUGCUGCAGGAGAGCUUUGCGUCCUAUUAGCUUGUUGGUGAGGUGACGGCUCACCAAGGCGAUGAUAGGUAGCCGGCCUGAGAGGGUGAACGGCCACAAGGGGACUGAGAUACGGCCCUUACUCCUACGGGAGGCAGCAGUGGGGAAUAUUGGACAAUGGGGGCAACCCUGAUCCAGCAAUUCUGUGUGCACGAAGAAGGUUUUCGGAUUGUAAAGUGCUUUCAGCAGGGAAGAAGAAAGUGACGGCACCUGCAGAAGAAGCGACGGCUAAAUACGUG
RNAcentral lists this ribosomal RNA (463 nucleotides) under uncultured bacterium. RNAcentral's name for it is "partial 16S ribosomal RNA". It matches the Rfam family "Bacterial small subunit ribosomal RNA", at positions 28 to 507 of the family's 1533-position model. The record is from RNAcentral.